RNAcentral lists this ribosomal RNA (371 nucleotides) under uncultured bacterium. RNAcentral describes it as "bacterial SSU rRNA". It matches the Rfam family "Bacterial small subunit ribosomal RNA", at positions 527 to 896 of the family's 1533-position model. The record is from RNAcentral.
GUAGGGUGCGAGCGUUAAUCGGAAUUACUGGGCGUAAAGUGUGCGCAGGCGGCCUCGCAAGUCGAGUGUGAAAUCCCCGGGCUUAACUUGGGAAUUGCGCUCGAAACUACGGGGCUUGAGUGUGGCAGAGGGGGGUGGAAUUCCACGUGUAGCGGUGAGAUGCGUAGAGAUGUGGAGGAACACCGAUGGCGAAGGCAGCCUCCUGGGCCAACACUGACGCUCAUGCACGAAAGCGUGGGGAGCAAACAGGAUUAGAUACCCUGGUAGUCCACGCCCUAAACGAUGAUGACUAGUUGUUGGAGGAGUUAAAUCCUUUAGUAACGCAGCUAACGCGAGAAGUCAUCCGCCUGGGGAGUACGAUCGCAAGAUUG